This 247-nucleotide long non-coding RNA is filed under the name Erythranthe guttata (spotted monkey flower). RNAcentral's name for it is "long non-coding RNA (EGUT_LNC002107)". Lineage: Eukaryota; Viridiplantae; Streptophyta; Magnoliopsida; Lamiales; Phrymaceae. The record is from RNAcentral.
UACUUCAAUUGACUUCCAAUUCUCCCAAUUCUCCGACGUUGUUUAUCACGAGUGAGAUCCCUAGUCUCACUUGAAUUUGGUAAUACUCUUUUUUGCAGACGUCCCAUUCUUUUGAGUACUGUAUAACUUGACUUCCUUAUUCGAACCAUAUUAUCUCAGUUUGAAUAUUGAAUUACGGUGAACCAAAUAUUCGGGAGUUCUUUUGUUCACUCCUUAUCAUUCCAAUGAAUUCAAUUUUGAUUCGUUG